Molecule: ribosomal RNA, 496 nt
Filed under: uncultured bacterium
Lineage: Bacteria
Description: partial 16S ribosomal RNA
Rfam family: Bacterial small subunit ribosomal RNA
Source: RNAcentral
AUGAACGCUGGCGGCGUGCCUAAUACAUGCAAGUCGAGCGAACAGACGAGGAGCUUGCUCCUCUGACGUUAGCGGCGGACGGGUGAGUAACACGUGGAUAACCUACCUAUAAGACUGGGAUAACUUCGGGAAACCGGAGCUAAUACCGGAUAAUAUAUUGAACCGCAUGGUUCAAUAGUGAAAGACGGUUUUGCUGUCACUUAUAGAUGGAUCCGCGCCGCAUUAGCUAGUUGGUAAGGUAACGGCUUACCAAGGCAACGAUGCGUAGCCGACCUGAGAGGGUGAUCGGCCACACUGGAACUGAGACACGGUCCAGACUCCUACGGGAGGCAGCAGUAGGGAAUCUUCCGCAAUGGGCGAAAGCCUGACGGAGCAACGCCGCGUGAGUGAUGAAGGUCUUCGGAUCGUAAAACUCUGUUAUUAGGGAAGAACAAUUGUGUAAGUAACUAUGCACGUCUUGACGGUACCUAAUCAGAAAGCCACGGCUAACUACGUG